CAUAUAUAAAUAUAAAGAUGUUUAUUUGUAAAUUCAAGAGAAAAGGUCUGGAAAGUUACCAAUCAAAUUUUUAACAGUGUUUGCUUUGAGGAAGGGAGUGAGAUGGGAGCAGGUGGACAAUGAAAGAGAACUUCAUUCUUUACUCUCUGUAUUUUCA
This is a non-coding RNA of Ceratotherium simum simum (southern white rhinoceros), 157 nucleotides long. Lineage: Eukaryota; Metazoa; Chordata; Mammalia; Perissodactyla; Rhinocerotidae. The record is from RefSeq and is a predicted model, not a curated record.